ACGGGAGGCAGCAGUGGGGAAUAUUGGACAAUGGGGGAAACCCUGAUCCAGCGACGCCGCGUGAGUGAAGAAGUAUUUCGGUAUGUAAAGCUCUAUCAGCAGGGAAGAUAAUGACGGUACCUGACUAAGAAGCUCCGGCUAAAUACGUGCCAGCAGCCGCGGUAAUACGUAUGGAGCAAGCGUUAUCCGGAUUUACUGGGUGUAAAGGGAGCGUAGGCGGAAGGCUAAGUCUGAUGUGAAAACCCAGGGCUCAACCUUGGGACUGCAUUGGAAACUGGUUUUCUAGAGUGUCGGAGGGGUAAGUGGAAUUCCUAGUGUAGCGGUGAAAUGCGUAGAUAUUAGGAGGAACACCAGUGGCGAAGGCGGCUUACUGGACGACAACUGACGCUGAGGCUCGAAAGCGUGGGGAGCAAACAGGAUUAGAUACCCUGGUA
This 434-nucleotide ribosomal RNA is filed under the name uncultured Lachnospiraceae bacterium. RNAcentral's name for it is "bacterial SSU rRNA". It matches the Rfam family "Bacterial small subunit ribosomal RNA", at positions 341 to 792 of the family's 1533-position model. Lineage: Bacteria; Bacillati; Bacillota; Clostridia; Lachnospirales; Lachnospiraceae. The record is from RNAcentral.